AUGACAAGCCGGGCAGUCGCUUGUAAGAAAUUAUAAGAGGAAAGUCCGAACACCAUAGGGCAGCGAGCCGGAUAACGUCCGGGCGUCCGCCGAGGCGGGCGACGACAAGUGCAACAGAAAACAGAACAGCCGUUCGAUCAAGGAUCUCGGAGCCGGUUUCCGGAUUUUCGGGAUCUCCGAGCGGUGAUGUGUGAAACGACGCGGUAAGAGCGCGUCAGCGCGGCUGGUAACAGUCGCGGCUGGGUAAACUCCUCGUGGUGCAAGACCAAAUAGGAAAACGAUUCUUGAACGGCCCGUUCAAAAACCGAUCCGCGGAUCGGGGGCGUUUUCGGGUAGGUCGCUUGAGCUCUCCGGCAACGGACAGCCUAGAUGAAUGAUUGCCCAUCGCCUCCGGGCGAAGACAAAAUUCGGCUUACAGGCUUGUUUUCGAA
RNAcentral lists this RNase P RNA (431 nucleotides) under Acidobacteriota bacterium. RNAcentral describes it as "Acidobacteria bacterium (activated sludge metagenome) RNase P RNA component class A". It matches the Rfam family "Bacterial RNase P class A". Rfam says of the family: Ribonuclease P (RNase P) is a ubiquitous endoribonuclease, found in archaea, bacteria and eukarya as well as chloroplasts and mitochondria. Its best characterised activity is the generation of mature 5'-ends of tRNAs by cleaving the 5'-leader elements of precursor-tRNAs. Cellular RNase Ps are ribonucleoproteins. Lineage: Bacteria; Pseudomonadati; Acidobacteriota. The record is from RNAcentral.